Long non-coding RNA from Musca domestica (house fly), 1239 nucleotides. RefSeq lists it as uncharacterized. NCBI's taxonomy places the organism in Eukaryota, Metazoa, Arthropoda, Insecta, Diptera, Muscidae. The record is from RefSeq and is a predicted model, not a curated record. The transcript has 3 exons.
UACAAAAUUCUAAAUUGCAGCCCAUUUGAUAAAACAUUGAGUAAUUGAGAAAGGGAUCAGCCCUCAAGAUUAUCGCUAAAUUUUGAAAUUCAAAACAAAUCAUCAAAAUACGAAUUGGUCACUGAAGGAAUUCCUGGCAACAUUAUUGCAAGAAAAGAUUCCACAAAUCUGAAUAUUAGAGCUCAUGCUGUUGGAAAUGUAGCAGAGGCUGGCAAAAUGACGAGUUGCAGCGGGACGAGACUAGUGUAUAUGAGAGCAAUACCUAAACUGGGACUGAUAUGCCUCCUUCAAUAUCAAUCUUCGGAGCUGCCGAACACGAAUGAAUUUCAAUCCAUCUGUGAAGGCCUAGACAUCGGCUCCCGGGAUAUCCUCAGUGAGUUGGCGAAUCAGAACGAGUUUCGAUCCAUCGGCAAAGGCCCAGACACCUUCUGCCGAACAUACCUUCAACGAGCUGACGUUUUCGAACACGUUCGGAUCCAUUUGCGAAGAUCUUGACAUCGGCUGCCUAACAUACCUUCAUUGAGCUGCCGAACCCGAACGAGUUUCGAUCCAUUUGCGAAGGCCUAGACAUCGGUUCCCGGGGUUACCCUCAGUGAGAUAUCCGAACGGAAACAUCGGCAAAGGACAAGACAUCGGCUGCCGCACAUACCUUCAACGAGUUGCCGAAUGUGAUCAAAAGAGUCUCAAUCACGGAUACCUAAUAAACUAAUGUUUCAAUUGAUUGCAUGUUCAAUGCGAAUGCACGAUUCUCGAAGAGUUACAGCACACAUGACAGCGAAUGAAAUUGAAAGUUCAUAAUGGUUCAAUGUCGCUCGCUUCGAGCCGACUCGUCGGGGAGAAUACCAUCUCCCACUUACAUAAUGUCGUAAUGAAAGGAACAUAAAUCUUUUUCAAUUGCUUACCAUAUAAGUUAAAGUUUCAUUAAAGUACACAAAGAUGGUAUUAUGCAAUUCGAACAGCACUAUUCUUAAGAACAACAACCAGGAAUUUUUAUGAAGCAAAAAAUUAAGAAAAAUAAAAAAUCUAUAUAUCAACAUGAAUGAAUGAUGAAAGCAAAAUGUCAACAAUUGUUAUUUAACGGAACACAAAGAAUGAUAGUAUGAAGCGAAGUGAGUUGAGAAAACUUAGAGCAUUAUUGCAUAACAGACGAGAAUAAUAGUAGAAUAUCAAUCACAUGUUGUUGAAAUCUAAAAAAUGUAUGUUCAUUGCAAUGAAUAUGUGAAAUGUUAUCUUUCCGAA